Long non-coding RNA from Cyprinus carpio carpio, 583 nucleotides. The record is from Ensembl. NCBI's taxonomy places the organism in Eukaryota, Metazoa, Chordata, Actinopteri, Cypriniformes, Cyprinidae.
UUUUAAACUCUUGACUUCCUCAACACAUGCACAGAAACGAAGUGUGGAAACAGAAUCAUUCAAAGUGGAAAGAAAGCGGUCUCUGCUUUCAGUAACAAGCCAUAGCUGUGUCUUUCAUGCCCAGGUAACAACUUACACAGACAUCAGAGAAACAGAAAAAUGGAUUCAUGGGCUUCUGGAGAAACAAUACACCAGUGGAGCAGUACUCUUACAACCUGAGGACAUUUUAAUUUCUUAUAUUGGGCCAUGUCCUGAGCACAACCAUCACACCAGGCAAGGGCUUUUCAGUUGGUCCCAAACUGGGGUUCAGCGCAACACCUCACUUUCCUGUGUGGGAAACCCUAAAAAGUUAGCCUAUAGGCAAUGUCUUCUGGAUGCAAACGUUGGAGCUCUUUGGAAAUCUCCAGACCUGCGGCAAUGCCAGGUUGUGGUCAACAGUGUGUCAGACCUGGAGGACAUUACAGUCACUUAUGACAAUGCAGAAGAUAUUCUGAUCAUGAUUGAGGACUUGAUACAUGAGAACAAAAAUCUGGAUGAGUACGAGCUCUCAACGGUACUCAAUAAACUAGCUGAUGUGAUUAAC